Long non-coding RNA from Thalassophryne amazonica, 210 nucleotides. RefSeq lists it as uncharacterized. The transcript is spliced from 5 exons. NCBI's taxonomy places the organism in Eukaryota, Metazoa, Chordata, Actinopteri, Batrachoidiformes, Batrachoididae. The record is from RefSeq and is a predicted model, not a curated record.
UUGUUGUCUUUUUUUCUUUUGCAAGGUUGUUUAGAAUUAUGAGAAGAAGCUUCCUGCGUCUGGCCUGAUGUCCUUGAAGGAUCUAAUUUGUACAAUUUCAGCUGAGGCUGUUAGGGCCUUUCAGUAGAAGGAGCGAGUCUUGUUUUAUGGGUCGUCCAGAUACGUUGCAGAAUCUGUGCUCACUAGAUCAGAAGAGCACACGUCUGAACU